CAAUUAAAAAUAACGUGGGUAGUUCUACAAACUAAAGUAAGUAUCUUUUAAUUCGGUGUAAAUGCAUACGCAGGGAAGGCGAUCGAGGCGCAAAAGCGGUUUGUUACAAACAGUCACAGAAUGUUCAGAUAAUACGACUCCAAUUAAUUUCUUUUCUUUUUUAUAUAUACGUAUAUAGAAGAUAAAUAAUAGUUUUUUUGUUUCCUUUUCAGCUACAAUGAUAACCUUACACAACGGCAAACGUCAGUUGAUGUUCAAGAAUCACUUAUACUUGAAGUUAUACUGCACCCGCGAUUUGAUUCGAUGGCGUUGUACAAAGCAUCCAAAAUGCAAGGCGUGUGUGGUGACGAAUGAAAAUUUAAUAGUCCAAAGUACGCACAAUGAGCACAGUCAUAGCGUCCAACAGCUAUAUGUAACUAAGUAUGAUCCUGAAAUUGACAUGUUGCUUCAUAAAAAAAAGCUUCAUUAUAUAGAACGAGUAACGAACCGUUACAAAUAUUUCUAUUUUUAUUUCCUCAAUGAUGGAAGGAUUUUAGUGCUUCCCAAGAAGUGACAAAACCAAAAAAGGGACAAACGAAAGAAGAAAUAUCAGAAAAAAUAAAGAACGACCCUCAGAAAUUAGCGGCUGAAAAAGAAAAAAGAAAGCGAAUGUAUAAAAAACUGAUAGAAUCUGGCAGAAAAGAACUAAUAUCUGAAAUUUUGGAGUGUGAAAAAAUCCAAGCUCGCGAAAAAUGCAGGGUAUACUCAGAAAGUGACUACAAAAACAAUAAGUUAAAGAUUAACCUAAUGAAUAAUUUUAUUAGAGAAAAUACCCUGUCUAAUUUUAACAAUAACCGUUUGGGUUUUAGCCUCUUAGAUUCCGUAAUCUCAGCAAAUCUUGAUAUAAAUGACCCUCAACCAUUGUCGCCAACGCCAUAGCCAAGAUUUAAAUCAGCACGAGAACGAUAAUAAUGUAUCUUUCAAUUUUUGACAACUUAUUAUUAUUAUUAUUGGGCUUAAUGGCUUUCAGUUAGGUGUAUGAGGAUAAAUUUUUUACGG
RNA transcript from Melitaea cinxia (Glanville fritillary), 1038 nucleotides. RefSeq lists it as uncharacterized. The transcript is spliced from 3 exons. The record is from RefSeq and is a predicted model, not a curated record. NCBI's taxonomy places the organism in Eukaryota, Metazoa, Arthropoda, Insecta, Lepidoptera, Nymphalidae.